RNAcentral lists this ribosomal RNA (264 nucleotides) under uncultured bacterium. Its description in RNAcentral is "partial 16S ribosomal RNA". It matches the Rfam family "Bacterial small subunit ribosomal RNA", at positions 793 to 1055 of the family's 1533-position model. The record is from RNAcentral.
GUCCACGCCGUAAACGAUGGAUGCUAGCCGUUGGUAAGCAUGCUUAUCAGUGGCGCAGCUAACGCAUUAAGCAUCCCGCCUGGGGAGUACGGCCGCAAGGUUGAAACUCAAAGGAAUUGACGGGGCCCGGCACAAGCGGUGGAGCAUGUGGUUUAAUUCGACGCAACGCGCAGAACCUUACCAGGGUUUGACAUCCUGUGCUAAGCCCAGAGAUGGGUGGUCCCCGCCAAGGGGCGGCAGAGACAGGUGCUGCAUGGCUGUCGU